AUUGAACGCUGGCGGCAUGCCUUACACAUGCAAGUCGAACGGUAACAGGUCUUCGGAUGCUGACGAGUGGCGAACGGGUGAGUAAUACAUCGGAACGUGCCUAGUAGUGGGGGAUAACUACUCGGAAGAGUGGCUAAUACCGCAUGAGAUCUACGGAUGAAAGCAGGGGAUCGCAAGACCUUGUGCUACUAGAGCGGCCGAUGGCAGAUUAGGUAGUUGGCGGGAUAAAAGCUUACCAAGCCGACGAUCUGUAGCUGGUCUGAGAGGACGAUCAGCCACACUGGGACUGAGACACGGCCCAGACUCCUACGGGAGGCAGCAGUGGGGAAUUUUGGACAAUGGGCGCAAGCCUGAUCCAGCAAGGCCGCGUGCAGGAUGAAGGCCUUCGGGUUGUAAACUGCUUUUGUACGGAACGAAAAGCCCCGGGUUAAUACCCUGGGGUCAUGACGGUACCGUAAGAAUAAGCACCGGCUAACUACGUGCCAGCCGCCGCAGUAA
This 498-nucleotide ribosomal RNA is filed under the name uncultured bacterium. RNAcentral describes it as "partial 16S ribosomal RNA". It matches the Rfam family "Bacterial small subunit ribosomal RNA", at positions 30 to 523 of the family's 1533-position model. The record is from RNAcentral.